Molecule: ribosomal RNA, 525 nt
Filed under: Ciliochorella sp. MFLUCC12-0310
Lineage: Eukaryota; Fungi; Ascomycota; Sordariomycetes
Description: eukaryotic LSU rRNA
Rfam family: 5.8S ribosomal RNA (bases 176-329)
Source: RNAcentral
CCCAACCCAUGUGAACUUACCUUUGUUGCCUCGGCAGAACCUACCCGGUACCUACCCUGGAACGGCUACCCUGUAGCAGUUACCCUGGAACGGGCUACCCUGUAGUGCUCCUGCCGACGGACCUUUAAACUCUUGUUAUUUUAUGUAAUCUGAGCGUCUUAUUUUAAUAAGUCAAAACUUUCAACAACGGAUCUCUUGGUUCUGGCAUCGAUGAAGAACGCAGCGAAAUGCGAUAAGUAAUGUGAAUUGCAGAAUUCAGUGAAUCAUCGAAUCUUUGAACGCACAUUGCGCCCAUUAGUAUUCUAGUGGGCAUGCCUGUUCGAGCGUCAUUUCAACCCUUAAGCCUAGCUUAGUGUUGGGAAUCUACUUUAUUGUAGUUCCUCAAAUCCAACGGCGGAUCUGUGGUAUCCUCUGAGCGUAGUAAAUUUUUAUCUCGCUUUUGUUAGGUGCUGCAGCUCCCAGCCGCUAAACCCCCAAUUUUUUGUGGUUGACCUCGGAUCAGGUAGGAAUACCCGCUGAACUUAA